CGAAGCUCUCGUUUUACUGGUCAGUCUUCAUUCCUACUCUCACCUAUGGUCAUGAGGGUUGGGUCAUGAGCAAAAUAACUAUAUCACAGGUACAAGCAACCAAAAUUGGCUUCCUUAGGAGGGUGGCUGGUGUCUCCCUUAGAGAUAGGGUGAGAAGUUCAGAGCAGAGCCGCUGCUCCU
This is a long non-coding RNA of Thalassophryne amazonica, 180 nucleotides long. RefSeq lists it as uncharacterized. The record is from RefSeq and is a predicted model, not a curated record. Lineage: Eukaryota; Metazoa; Chordata; Actinopteri; Batrachoidiformes; Batrachoididae. The transcript is spliced from 3 exons.